UUUUGAUCUAUUCUAGAGGAAAUAAACGCUGUUCAAGGAAAUGAAAAAUCUACAGGGAAUGUUUCUUCUGCAACUCUACCUCCACUACCUGGUCAGCAAACUUUCAUUACAGCAGAUCAAUAUUUUCUUCCUUUUGAGUUGGCUUGUCAAACAAAAUGUGCCAGGAUUGUCACCAUUGCACUUGACUGUAUACAAAAACUCAUUGCUUAUGGUCAAAUUGUUGGCGAUACACCAGACUCCAUUGAACCAGAGAGGCUUUUAAAUGACAGAAUUAUCAAGACUAUUUGUACUUGCUUUACAGGUAUAAAUACUGAUGUAAACGUUCAAAUACAAAUUAUAAAAGUAUUUAUAAAAAGUAAUGUCAAACUGUUAAAGUAUUUAAUGAGAGAAAUGAUAUAUCCUUGAGGAAUUUAAAGACGGCUCUUCUAACAGCUGUUAC
Xenia sp. Carnegie-2017 is the source of this 439-nucleotide long non-coding RNA. RefSeq lists it as uncharacterized. NCBI's taxonomy places the organism in Eukaryota, Metazoa, Cnidaria, Anthozoa, Malacalcyonacea, Xeniidae. The record is from RefSeq and is a predicted model, not a curated record. The transcript has 4 exons.